Homo sapiens (human) is the source of this 1933-nucleotide long non-coding RNA. RefSeq lists it as uncharacterized. The transcript has 2 exons. The record is from RefSeq and is a predicted model, not a curated record. Lineage: Eukaryota; Metazoa; Chordata; Mammalia; Primates; Hominidae.
AGUGAAGAAUCUGAAGAUGACAAGAUGUACAUGACCUGCUCUUCUGCACUACUAGAUUCAUUUGCCCUUUGCAGCUGAGAUCUUUACUAACUCCAGUCAUUCCUGAAUUCUCUACAGUGAUGGUCAACAGGCUCUGACCUCUUCUCAUUUUCAAAGUGCCUUCAAAUGACUUCGUGGAGCAUCUUGGUUUAGUUUAGGCUCUGGCACCUGCUGCACCACCUCCUGAGAAAUGACUGUGUGUGUUGUAACUUACAGGAUUCCUUUCAGCUCUCAUCAAACUGGGCCUUGGUCAGCUAGUGAGGUGAUAAUAUUGUCUCUGUGAAAUAUGCUAUAGUUUUAGACUGAUAAGUAUAUCAUACUGCUGUUAUUUGAAAGCACAUAUUAAACUUUGAUUAUACAUUUAUAGGUAUUAAAGGAAAAUAUGAAAGUGUAUUCUUUGGAGAAAAUUGCUACUACCAGGUACCUUUCAUUGUAAAGUGAGCUGAUUUUCUUCUUAUGGCAAUAUGAGCUCAUCAGUUUAUGUUCACCACUGUUUUGAAUCCAGGGCUCCUUUGUGUUUAAUAUCCAGAAGAAUCCCCAUUGUGUUUUGUGUUUAGGGCAACAGGAACCCGGUACCUUGACAAAAGGUUAUUGAUCAGAAUUGUCCCAUGGUCAUCCUUAGCUGAAAGUGAGCCUGGAUCAUCAAGGCUUUCAGUGGCACACACAUCUUCCUGAAAUGUAUCCUUUUGUCUCAUCCAUCACAACUUCCCAGGGCUCUUUUCCUUUCUCCAAAGAGGAAACUACAUCUGGCAGAAGAUGAAAAGCCCAGUGAGAUCAUGCUGUAGUCCUCUAAAAUCACAUCUAUGCACAAAUCAUUCUGUGCAGGAUCCAGGCAUUCUACUGUUCCUGAGAGGAGUCUAUAGUAACACCCCUCAGUAUUACCAGCCGCUGGUUAUGGAUUUUACUUUGCUAGACCUGAUCUUUGUUUUUCUGGGUUCUUUUUUUUUGGCGGAGGGCCGGGGGUAUACAGAGACUUUUCACUGCUCUGUCUUAAGGUGAUUCAGUCACUUCAGCUACUUGGCCCUAGCUCCACUAUCUUCUUUUUUUAAUUUCAUGAAUAUUCUUAGAAAAUAUAAGAAUGUUGCCAGGCGCAGUGGCUGACGCCUGUAAUCCCAGCACUUUUGGAGGCUGAGGUGGGCAGAUCACGAGGUCAGGAGUUUGAGAUCAGCCUGGCCAAUAUGGUGAAACCUGCCUCUACUAAAAAUACAAAAAUUAGCCGGGCGUGGUGGCACGCACCUAUAGUCCCAGCUACUUAGGAGGCUGAGGAAGAAGAAUCGCUUGGACCGGGGAGGAGGAGGUUGCAGUGAGCCAAGAUCGCGCCACUGUAUUCCAGCCUGGGCGACAGAGCCAAAAAAAAAAAAAUACAUAUAUAUAUAUAUAUAUACGUAUAUAUAUAUAUACAUAUAUAUAUAUACAUAUAUAUAUAUACGUAUAUAUAUAUACAUAUAUAUAUAUACACAUAUAUAUAUACGUAUAUAUAUACGUAUAUAUAUAUACAUAUAUAUAUACAUAUAUAUAUACGUAUAUAUAUAUAUGAAUGUUUUGAGAUGAAAUUGGUUUCUUAAUUACUAAUAAUUUUUUCAUCUUAUCUUGGGCUCAUGAAAAAAUGGUCAGUUUUCAGUUAUUUGGAGAAUAGAAAAUUUGUGUGAUUAAAAAGAAAAGGAGAACAAAAUUAAAAAUGUCCAUUAAUUUAUGCUAAGUCUUUAAAGCAUGAAUUAUUUUUUUACGUAACUACACACAAGCUUAUGAGGCUUUAACAUUGUACCUUUCCGUGCUGUUCUUUUUAAAGCUUAAGAUGUGUAACUAUCAGUCUUCAUGGUUGUCAUUUUUGUGCUUUUUAUUAUUAUUUUGUCUCAGCUUUUCUCUUUCUGCAUUAAAAUACUCUGACACUUUU